This 990-nucleotide ribosomal RNA is filed under the name Triticum aestivum (bread wheat). RNAcentral describes it as "partial small subunit ribosomal RNA". The record is from RNAcentral. Lineage: Eukaryota; Viridiplantae; Streptophyta; Magnoliopsida; Poales; Poaceae.
UGCAAGCCGCUGCUCUCCAAGACCUACGACCUCUCAACGGUGCUCACGGACACGGUGUACGUGGGCUUCUCGUCGGCCACGGGUUCUUUCAACUCGCAACACUGCAUUCUUGGCUGGUGUUACGCGAUGGACGGACCUGCUCCGGCCAUCGACAUCGCCGAGCUAACAAAGCUCCCUUGCUUAGGCCUAGAGCGCCAUCCCAAGCUCGCAGAGAUCAUCCCACCCGUAGCGACGACAAUGUUCACCUUUGCCGCGGGCACCCUCGUCGUCCUCCUAAUACGACGGCGGCUCAAGUACAAGUAGCUCCGAGAAGAUUGGGAGAUCGAGUUCGGGCCACACCAGUUCUCCUACAAGGAUCUAUUCAUCGCCACCGGCGGGUUCAAGGAGAAGAAUCUGUUGUGUGUGGGAGGUUUCGGGAGGGUAUACAAAGGGGUGCUACCACUGCCCAAACUGGAGAUCGCAGUGAAGGUGUCACAUGACUCAAAACAAGGCAUGAAAGAGUUCAUCGCCGAGGUUGUGAGCAUUGGGCGACUACAACAUCGCAAUCUCGCUCAGUUACAUGUUUAUUGCAGGUGUAAAGAUGAAUUGCUCUUGAUAUACGAGUACAUGCCAAAUGGGAGCCUUGAUAGGCACUUGUAUGGUGAUGAUGAGAAGCCGGUUCUAGAUUGGGACAAAAGGUUUGCUUCGGGGUUGCUCUACCUCCACGAGGAGUGUGAGAAAGUAAUCAUCCACCAGGACAUCAAAGCUACUAAUGUACUCCUCCACAGUGAGAUGAAUGGUCGACUUGGUGACUUUGGAAUGGCAAGGUUGUACGAUCGUGGUGCCAACCCACAAACCACACACAUGGUUGGGACCAUAGGAUACCUAUCUCCAGAGCUUGGUCGCACUAGCAAGGCAACCCCCUUGACCGACGUGUUCGCCUUCGGCAUAUUCCUUUUUAAGGUUACAUGUGGACAACAACCCAUUAGGCAAAAUUCACAGGAUCACUAG